RNAcentral lists this ribosomal RNA (264 nucleotides) under uncultured bacterium. RNAcentral's name for it is "partial 16S rRNA". It matches the Rfam family "Bacterial small subunit ribosomal RNA", at positions 505 to 768 of the family's 1533-position model. The record is from RNAcentral.
GUGCCAGCCGCCGCGGUAAUACGUAGGUGGCAAGCGUUGUCCGGAAUUAUUGGGCGUAAAGCGCGCGCAGGUGGUUUCUUAAGUCUGAAGUGAAAGCCCACGGCUUAACCGUGGAGGGUCAUUGGAAACUGGGAGACUUGAGUGCAGAAGAGGAAAGUGGAAUUCCAACUGUAGCGGUGAAAUGCGUAGAGAUUUGAAGGAACUGCAGUGGCGAAGGCGACCUUCUGGUCGGCAACUGAAGCUGAGGCGCGAAAGCAUGGGGAG